RNAcentral lists this ribosomal RNA (1441 nucleotides) under uncultured organism. RNAcentral's name for it is "SSU rRNA". It matches the Rfam family "Bacterial small subunit ribosomal RNA". The record is from RNAcentral.
AGCUACAGGCUUAACACAUGCAAGUCGAGGGGCAUCAGGAAGAAAGCUUGCUUUCUUUGCUGGCGACCGGCGCACGGGUGAGUAACACGUAUCCAACCUGCCCUUUACUCGGGGAUAGCCUUUCGAAAGAAAGAUUAAUACCCGAUAGCAUAAUGAUUCCGCAUGGUUUCAUUAUUAAAGGAUUCCGGUAAAGGAUGGGGAUGCGUUCCAUUAGGUUGUUGGUGAGGUAACGGCCCACCAAGCCUUCGAUGGAUAGGGGUUCUGAGAGGAAGGUCCCCCACAUUGGAACUGAGACACGGUCCAAACUCCUACGGGAGGCAGCAGUGAGGAAUAUUGGUCAAUGGGCGCUAGCCUGAACCAGCCAAGUAGCGUGAAGGAUGAAGGCUCUAUGGGUCGUAAACUUCUUUUAUAUAAGAAUAAAGUGCAGUAUGUAUACUGUUUUGUAUGUAUUAUAUGAAUAAGGAUCGGCUAACUCCGUGCCAGCAGCCGCGGUAAUACGGAGGAUCCGAGCGUUAUCCGGAUUUAUUGGGUUUAAAGGGAGCGUAGGUGGACUGGUAAGUCAGUUGUGAAAGUUUGCGGCUCAACCGUAAAAUUGCAGUUGAUACUGUCAGUCUUGAGUACAGUAGAGGUGGGCGGAAUUCGUGGUGUAGCGGUGAAAUGCUUAGAUAUCACGAAGAACUCCGAUUGCGAAGGCAGCUCACUGGACUGCAACUGACACUGAUGCUCGAAAGUGUGGGUAUCAAACAGGAUUAGAUACCCUGGUAGUCCACACAGUAAACGAUGAAUACUCGCUGUUUGCGAUAUACAGUAAGCGGCCAAGCGAAAGCAUUAAGUGUUCCACCUGGGGAGUACGCCGGCAACGGUGAAACUCAAAGGAAUUGACGGGGGCCCGCACAAGCGGAGGAACAUGUGGUUUAAUUCGAUGAUACGCGAGGAACCUUACCCGGGCUUAAAUUGCAGUGGAAUGAUGUGGAAACAUGUCAGUGAGCAAUCACCGCUGUGAAGGUGCUGCAUGGUUGUCGUCAGCUCGUGCCGUGAGGUGUCGGCUUAAGUGCCAUAACGAGCGCAACCCUUAUCUUUAGUUACUAACAGGUUAUGCUGAGGACUCUAGAGAGACUGCCGUCGUAAGAUGUGAGGAAGGUGGGGAUGACGUCAAAUCAGCACGGCCCUUACGUCCGGGGCUACACACGUGUUACAAUGGGGGGUACAGAAGGCAGCUAGCGGGUGACCGUAUGCUAAUCCCAAAAUCCUCUCUCAGUUCGGAUCGAAGUCUGCAACCCGACUUCGUGAAGCUGGAUUCGCUAGUAAUCGCGCAUCAGCCACGGCGCGGUGAAUACGUUCCCGGGCCUUGUACACACCGCCCGUCAAGCCAUGGGAGCCGGGGGUACCUGAAGUACGUAACCGCAAGGAUCGUCCUAGGGUAAAACUGGUGACUGGGGCU